GAGUCGAGAGGGUUCGGCCCUCGGCUGACGGCUCAGUAACACGUGGAUAAUCUGCCCUAAGGUGAAGGAUAACCUCGGGAAACUGAGAAUAAUACUCCAUAAAUCUAGGAUGCUGGAAUGCACUUAGGUUGAAAACUUCGGUGCCUUAGGAUGAGUCUGCGGACUAUCAGGUUGUAGUCAGGGUAAAGACCUGACUAGCCUACGACGGAUACGGGUUGUGAGAGCAAUAACCCGGAGGUGAUAUCUGAGACACGAUAUCAGGCCCUACGGGGCGCAGCAGGCGCGAAAACUUCGCACUGCGCGAAAGCGCGACGAGGGGAUCCCAAGUGUAUGCACGUAAGUGUAUACUGUUUCUCUGUCUAAAAAGCAGAGAGAGUAAGAGCUGGGUAAGACGGGUGCCAGCCGCCGCGGUAAUACCUGCAGCUCAAGUGGUGAUCGUUAUUAUUGGGCCUAAAACGUCCGUAGCCGGUUGAGUAAAUGCCUGGGUAAAUCGUGUCGCUUAACGAUACGAAUUCCGGGUAGACUGCUCAGCUUGGGACCGGGAGAAGCUAGAGGUACUCCUGGGGUAGAGGUGAAAUUCUGUAAUCCUGGGGGGACCACCAGUGGCGAAGGCGUCUAGCUAGAACGGGUCUGACGGUGAGGGACGAAACCCUGGGGCGCGAACCGGAUUAGAUACCCGGGUAGUCCAGGGCGCAAACGCUGCUUGCUUGAUGUUAGCUGGGCU
Molecule: ribosomal RNA, 724 nt
Filed under: uncultured archaeon
Lineage: Archaea
Description: bacterial SSU rRNA
Rfam family: Archaeal small subunit ribosomal RNA
Source: RNAcentral